CUUGCUCUUCUGGAUGAGUUGCGAACGGGUGAGUAACGCGUAGGUAACCUGCCUGGUAGCGGGGGAUAACUAUUGGAAACGAUAGCUAAUACCGCAUAAGAGUAGGUGUUGCAUGACAUUUGCUUAAAAGGUGCAAUUGCACCACUACCAGAUGGACCUGCGUUGUAUUAGCUAGUUGGUGGGGUAACGGCUCACCAAGGCGACGAUACAUAGCCGACCUGAGAGGGUGAUCGGCCACACUGGGACUGAGACACGGCCCAGACUCCUACGGGAGGCAGCAGUAGGGAAUCUUCGGCAAUGGACGGAAGUCUGACCGAGCAACGCCGCGUGAGUGAAGAAGGUUUUCGGAUCGUAAAGCUCUGUUGUAAGAGAAGAACGAGUGUGAGAGUGGAAAGUUCACACUGUGACGGUAUCUUACCAGAAAGGGACGGCUAACUACGUGCCAGCAGCCGCGGUAAUACGUAGGUCCCGAGCGUUGUCCGGAUUUAUUGGGCGUAAAGCGAGCGCAGGCGGUUAGAUAAGUCUGAAGUUAAAGGCUGUGGCUUAACCAUAGUACGCUUUGGAAACUGUUUAACUUGAGUGCAAGAGGGGAGAGUGGAAUUCCAUGUGUAGCGGUGAAAUGCGUAGAUAUAUGGAGGAACACCGGUGGCGAAA
Molecule: ribosomal RNA, 654 nt
Filed under: uncultured Bacilli bacterium
Lineage: Bacteria; Bacillati; Bacillota; Bacilli
Description: bacterial SSU rRNA
Rfam family: Bacterial small subunit ribosomal RNA
Source: RNAcentral